CCUACGGGCGGCAGCAGUGGGGAAUAUUGGGCAAUGGGCGCAAGCCUGACCCAGCAACGCCGCGUGAAGGAAGAAGGCUUUCGGGUUGUAAACUUCUUUUCUCAGGGACGAAGCAGGUGACGGUACCUGAGGAAUAAGCCACUGCUAACUACGUGCCAGCAGCCGCGGUAAUUCGGAGGUGGCAAGCUUUAUCCGGAUUUACUGGGUGUAAAGGGCGUGUAGGCGGGACUGUAAGUCAGAUGUGAAAACCACGGGCUCAACCUGUGGCCUGCAGUUGAAACUGUAGGUCUUGAGUACUGGAGAGGAAGCCGGAAUUCCUAGUGUAGCGGUGAAAUGCGUAGAUAUUAGGAGGAACACCAGUGGCGAAGGCGGUCUGCUGGACAGCAACUGACGCUGAGGCGCGAAAGCGUGGGGAGCAAACAGGAUUAGAUACCCCUGUAGUC
Molecule: ribosomal RNA, 443 nt
Filed under: uncultured bacterium
Lineage: Bacteria
Description: partial 16S ribosomal RNA
Rfam family: Bacterial small subunit ribosomal RNA
Source: RNAcentral